RNAcentral lists this ribosomal RNA (371 nucleotides) under Physarum rubiginosum. Its description in RNAcentral is "SSU rRNA". It matches the Rfam family "Eukaryotic small subunit ribosomal RNA", at positions 76 to 405 of the family's 1831-position model. Lineage: Eukaryota; Evosea; Eumycetozoa; Physariida; Physaraceae. The record is from RNAcentral.
UCUCUCUGAAUCUGCGAACGGCUCCGCAAACCAGUUGUAAACUAUAGCGAGUAAGCUCCGGCCAACGCAAGGAGGUCGGGGUAAUAGGGAUAACCCUGGUAAUUCUGAGGCUAAUACAAGAACGUAACCCCUGGUCGACUGGCAACGGAAGGCUGGGGGACGUGCGACAUUUGCAAACAGGCACUGGGAGUAGGCGCACGUCCAGACCACCAUACCAAACAGUAGGUGGAUCCCUCCGGGGUGAAGCUGUCUGGGUGGCUCUCGCGUUGUGCUUCUGACCUAUCAACUAGACGGCAGCAUAAUUGACAUGCCGUGGUUACAACGGGUACAGAGGAUAAGGGUUCGAUCCUGGAGAGUGGGCCUGAGAGAUU